Molecule: long non-coding RNA, 903 nt
Organism: Heterocephalus glaber (naked mole-rat)
Lineage: Eukaryota; Metazoa; Chordata; Mammalia; Rodentia; Bathyergidae
Source: RefSeq, a predicted model, not a curated record
GAAUCAUAAAAAGAUGGCUAGCUUAAAAGAGAAAGCUAUCUCUAUUUCUGAGUCUCUUGUUUUUAAGGAUAGAUCUGAACAGCAUGCAAGGAGUUCCUGUAUUUUAACAAGGCCAUUCUAAAUUACAACCCAUGACAGCAUGAGUGAGUUCACGUAAACACAGCUAGUGGUAUCAUGAGUAACAAAAUCUGUCUCCAUCAGACGCCCUUUAUCCUGCGUAACAGACCUUCAUGCUAAUAGGCACUCAGGCUAAGUGUUAACCAGCUACAGCUGGUUUGUGCUAUAAAAAGAACUAAUGAAAACACAAAACCUAACUUCUCUAUUCCACUCUGGACAGCACGUCAAAGCUACACAAAGACAGCCUUUUCCAAGUGCUCUCAGUGAAUGAACUGGCCAGGUCUGGUUCUCUGAAGUUGUUUACUGAACAGUGUGUGCAAGGGACUCAGUAAGCACGCAUGGGCAGGGGCGGGGUCUGGGGGAGGGGAGGGGCUGGUCACGUGAUCUGGUGAACAAAGCCAAUUUUUCGGAACGAUUUUGGAUUUAGUUUUAUAACAAACAGGAGGCAGAAAAAAAUUUCAAACGCAGAGCAGAAACUUCUGCAGAGACAACCUGCAUUGGGAUUUCACACCAGAGAGAGGAAGAAUGGUCAUGUGCUUAAGGCAAAAAAGUGGUGGGCCAGGAUGGCCCACACCUGAGGGUCCUCACACAGCUGUGUGCAACAGACCUAUCCAAGACCCGGAAAAGCCCACUUCCACCAGCUUCCCCUGCAAAGAAAAAAACUAAGUGAAAGGACAACUGACAAAAUGGGAAUAAAGAAUUUUGCCAGCUAUUCCUUGGACAGAGGACUAAUCUAAAAUAUAUGAAGGACACAAAAAAUUAGAAACUCCCAAAAUAAAAGAAUGG